Molecule: ribosomal RNA, 366 nt
Filed under: uncultured organism
Description: bacterial SSU rRNA
Rfam family: Bacterial small subunit ribosomal RNA
Source: RNAcentral
CGGAGGGUCCAAGCGUUAUCCGGAAUCAUCGGGUUUAAAGGGUCCGUAGGCGGUUUUGUAAGUCAGUGGUGAAAGCCCAUCGCUCAACGGUGGAACGGCCAUUGAUACUGCAAGACUUGAAUUAUUAGGAAGUAACUAGAAUAUGUAGUGUAGCGGUGAAAUGCUUAGAGAUUACAUGGAAUACCAAUUGCGAAGGCAGGUUACUACUAAUAUAUUGACGCCGAUGGACGAAAGCGUGGGGAGCGAACAGGAUUAGAUGCCCUGGUAGUCCACGCCGUAAACGAUGGAUACUAGCUGUUCGGAGCAAUCUGAGUGGCUAAGCGAAAGUGAUAAGUAUCCCACCUGGGGAGUACGUUCGCAAGAAUG